AAGAGCGCGUAGGCGGGUUCUUAAGUGAGGGGUGAAAGGUUCAGGGCUCAACCCGGACACUGCCUUUCAUACUGGGAACCUUGAGUGCGGGAGAGGCGAGUGGAAUGGCUGGUGUAGCGGUGAAAUGCGUAGAUAUCAGUCGGAACACCCAUGGCGAAGGCAGCUCGCUGGCCUGCAACUGACGCUGAGGCGCGAAAGCGUGGGGAGCAAACAGGAUUAGAUACCCUAGU
RNAcentral lists this ribosomal RNA (230 nucleotides) under uncultured bacterium. Its description in RNAcentral is "partial 16S ribosomal RNA". It matches the Rfam family "Bacterial small subunit ribosomal RNA", at positions 563 to 791 of the family's 1533-position model. The record is from RNAcentral.